RNAcentral lists this signal recognition particle RNA (273 nucleotides) under Macaca mulatta (Rhesus monkey). Its description in RNAcentral is "Metazoan signal recognition particle RNA (ENSMMUG00000060513.1)". It matches the Rfam family "Metazoan signal recognition particle RNA". From Rfam's summary of the family: The signal recognition particle (SRP) is a universally conserved ribonucleoprotein. It is involved in the co-translational targeting of proteins to membranes. The eukaryotic SRP consists of a 300-nucleotide 7S RNA and six proteins: SRPs 72, 68, 54, 19, 14, and 9. The record is from RNAcentral. Lineage: Eukaryota; Metazoa; Chordata; Mammalia; Primates; Cercopithecidae.
GCUGGGCGUGGUGGUGGGCACCUGUAGUCCCAGCUACUCGGGAGGCUGAGGCAGGAGAAUCGGUUGAACCCGGGAGGCGGAGCUUGCAGUGAGCUGAGAUCCAGCCACUGCACUCCAGCCUGGGCGACAGAGCGAGACUCCGUCUCCAAAAAAAAAAAAAAGAGAGAGAAAAAAGAAAUGGAGUCUCGCUCUGUCGCCCAGGCUGGAGUGCAGUGGUGCGAUCUCGGCUCACUGCAAGCUCCGCCUCCCGGGUUCAACCGAUUCUCCUGUCUC